RNAcentral lists this unclassified non-coding RNA (332 nucleotides) under soil metagenome. RNAcentral describes it as "partial contains 5.8S ribosomal RNA, internal transcribed spacer 2, and large subunit ribosomal RNA". The stretch from base 1 to 120 matches the Rfam family "5.8S ribosomal RNA", at positions 35 to 154 of the family's 154-position model. The record is from RNAcentral.
GAUGAAGAACGUAGCGAAAUGCGAAAAGUAGUGUGAAUUGCAGAAUUCAGUGAAUCAUCGAAUCUUUGAACGCACAUUGCGCCCGCCAGUAUUCUGGCGGGCAUGCCUGUUCGAGCGUCAUUUCAACCCUCAAGCACAGCUUGGUGUUGGGACUCGCGUUAAUUCGCGUUCCUCAAAUUGAUUGGCGGUCACGUCGAGCUUCCAUAGCGUAGUAGUAAAACCCUCGUUACUGGUAAUCGUCGCGGCCACGCCGUUAAACCCCAACUUCUGAAUGUUGACCUCGGAUCAGGUAGGAAUACCCGCUGAACUUAAGCAUAUCAAUAAGCGGAGGA